GAUGAACGCUGGCGGCGUGCCUAAUACACGCAAGUCGAGCGAACGGACGAGAAGCUUGCUUCUCUGAUGUUAGCGGCGGACGGGUGAGUAACACGUGGAUAACCUACCUAUAAGACUGGGAUAACUUCGGGAAACCGGAGCUAAUACCGGAUAAUAUUUUGAACCGCAUGGUUCAAAAGUGAAAGACGGUCUUGCUGUCACUUAUAGAUGGAUCCGCGCUGCAUUAGCUAGUUGGUAAGGUAACGGCUUACCAAGGCAACGAUGCAUAGCCGACCUGAGAGGGUGAUCGGCCACACUGGAACUGAGACACGGUCCAGACUCCUACGGGAGGCAGCAGUAGGGAAUCUUCCGCAAUGGGCGAAAGCCUGACGGAGCAACGCCGCGUGAGUGAUGAAGGUCUUCGGAUCGUAAAGCUCUGUUAUUAGGGAAGAACAUAUGUGUAAGUAACUGUGCACAUCUUGACGGUACCUAAUCAGAAAGCCACGGCUAACUACGUGCCAGCAGCCGCGGUAAUACGUAGGUGGCAAGCGUUAUCCGGAAUUAUUGGGCGUAAAGCGCGCGUAGGCGGUUUUUUAAGUCUGAUGUGAAAGCCCACGGCUCAACCGUGGAGGGUCAUUGGAAACUGGAAAACUUGAGUGCAGAAGAGGAAAGUGGAAUUCCAUGUGUAGCGGUGAAAUGCGCAGAGAUAUGGAGGAACACCAGUGGCGAAGGCGACUUUCUGGUCUGUAACUGACGCUGAUGUGCGAAAGCGUGGGGAUCAAACAGGAUUAGAUACCCUGGUAGUCCACGCCGUAAACGAUGAGUGCUAAGUGUUAGGGGGUUUCCGCCCCUUAGUGCUGCAGCUAACGCAUUAAGCACUCCGCCUGGGGAGUACGACCGCAAGGUUGAAACUCAAAGGAAUUGACGGGGACCCGCACAAGCGGUGGAGCAUGUGGUUUAAUUCGAAGCAACGCGAAGAACCUUACCAAAUCUUGACAUCCUUUGACAACUCUAGAGAUAGAGCUUUCCCCUUCGGGGGACAAAGUGACAGGUGGUGCAUGGUUGUCGUCAGCUCGUGUCGUGAGAUGUUGGGUUAAGUCCCGCAACGAGCGCAACCCUUAAGCUUAGUUGCCAUCAUUAAGUUGGGCACUCUAAGUUGACUGCCGGUGACAAACCGGAGGAAGGUGGGGAUGACGUCAAAUCAUCAUGCCCCUUAUGAUUUGGGCUACACACGUGCUACAAUGGACAAUACAAAGGGCAGCGAAACCGUGAGGUCAAGCAAAUCCCAUAAAGUUGUUCUCAGUUCGGAUUGUAGUCUGCAACUCGACUACAUGAAGCUGGAAUCGCUAGUAAUCGUAGAUCAGCAUGCUACGGUGAAUACGUUCCCGGGUCU
RNAcentral lists this ribosomal RNA (1372 nucleotides) under uncultured bacterium. RNAcentral's name for it is "bacterial SSU rRNA". It matches the Rfam family "Bacterial small subunit ribosomal RNA", at positions 28 to 1381 of the family's 1533-position model. The record is from RNAcentral.